AGUGAACGCUGGCGGUAGGCCUAACACAUGCAAGUCGAACGGCAGCACAGUAAGAGCUUGCUCUUACGGGUGGCGAGUGGCGGACGGGUGAGGAAUACAUCGGAAUCUACUUUUUCGUGGGGGAUAACGUAGGGAAACUUACGCUAAUACCGCAUACGACCUACGGGUGAAAGCAGGGGAUCUUCGGACCUUGCGCGAUUGAAUGAGCUGAUGUCGGAUUAGCUAGUUGGCGGGGUAAAGGCCCACCAAGGCGACGAUACGUAGCUGAUCUGAGAGGAUGAUCAGCCACACUGGAACUGAGACACGGUCCAGACUCCUACGGGAGGCAGCAGUGGGGAAUAUUGGACAAUGGGCGCAAGCCUGAUCCAGCCAUACCGCGUGGGUGAAGAAGGCCUUCGGGUUGUAAAGCCCUUUUGUUGGGAAAGAAAAGCAGCAGGUUAAUACCCCGCUGUUCUGACGGUACCCAAAGAAUAAGCACCGGCUAACUUCGUG
This 492-nucleotide ribosomal RNA is filed under the name uncultured bacterium. RNAcentral describes it as "partial 16S ribosomal RNA". It matches the Rfam family "Bacterial small subunit ribosomal RNA", at positions 29 to 507 of the family's 1533-position model. The record is from RNAcentral.